GCCUGGGUGGCUCAGUCGGUUGAGCAUCUGACUUCGGCUCAGGUCAUGAUCUCACGGUGUGUGAGUUCGAGCCCCGCGUCAGGCU
This 85-nucleotide transfer RNA is filed under the name Felis catus (domestic cat). It matches the Rfam family "tRNA". From Rfam's summary of the family: Transfer RNA (tRNA) molecules are approximately 80 nucleotides in length. Their secondary structure includes four short double-helical elements and three loops (D, anti-codon, and T loops). The record is from Rfam by way of RNAcentral. Lineage: Eukaryota; Metazoa; Chordata; Mammalia; Carnivora; Felidae.